GCAGUUGCCCAUACUGACCAAUCAGCAUCUGUUUCUUUUAAAUUUUUACCUUGUUAAAACAUAGAUAUGAUUUGUUGCUAUGGUUAAAACUUACAAUACAUACAAUUCAGUCCAUAUAUUAGUAAAUUAGUACCACUGUGUCACUUUGUGAUAUGCAGACAGAAGGGCUCAUUUAUAACUGUAAUUUGGGGCUGAGCAAAAAUGGGCGCAGUUGUUGCACAAACUAAAGCCAUUUAUUAGAGGUAAUAGUAUUUUCUUGUCUUUUAACCAGGAAUUGCAAAUGGAAGCUGAGGUGAGCAGCUCCAAGGUAAGCAGAAAGGGAAACUUUUCCAAACUUUGCAGUGUUUUGUGCUGUAAACUAUUUGUGAUUUUUUUUCUGCCUCAACCAGCAGGAAGAUCUAUAAUUAAAUUAACAGGUUUGUUUUAUCACAUUCUCUACUGAAAUCAGAUGAUCUUCUAAAAUUAUGUUUUUUAUAUUAACUAGGGAACCUUGGAGGUCUGUGAUGAACCUCAGCAGGAGACUUGCGAGGAGAGACCUCAGGAGUGUGGCGAUUACACCUGCCCGCCUGAGCUCUCUGAGCAAGAGGAUCCUCAGCCCAUCGAGGAGGAUCCGACAGCCUGUAAUGAGGCUGAAGCACCAACUAUGAGGCAGGAGAGCAUGGACACCAGCCCCUGCCACCCUCAGCAGGAGACUUGCGAGGAGAGACCUCAGGAGUGUGGCGAUUACACCUGCCUGCCUGAGCUCUCUGAGCAAGAGGAUCCUCAGCCCAUCGAGGAGGAUCCGACAGCCUGUAAUGAGGCUGAAGAACCAAUUAUGACGCAGGAGAGCACGAACACCAGCCCCUGCCACCCUCAGCAGGAGACUUGCGAGGUAACCAGCAAGGAAUUGUAUUAUGUAUUAACUGUUUUUUCAGAAUAACAAUUAAACCCUUUUAAACCUAUUUGUGCCCCUGCACAGGACCCCUAUCCAAAUACAUCACCCAAACUCCCAUUUAGGCCCCAUUCCCCUGACAAAUACUUACUAGGAUGGUUGGUCACCAUGUUUUACCUCUGUUACAUCCUCUCAGAUCCUCCACAGAUCCCAUUGCCCUUCUAGAACAUUCCCACUGAAACCCAAGGCCCUAGUCAGUUUCACUGUACAUAAAUCUGUGCAAUGAUCAGAGCAGUGAGGGUUUUAACAGAAAGGCCACAACCGAACAUAACAACCAUUCACCCCGCUAUGUAGCUCUGAUCUCUUUCAUUUUGGGGGAAACGUAGGAGUCUGGGUCUUGCAGUUCUGCUUUAAUCUAAUUGGUUCCGCUCAUCUAACAACCAUUUUUUCCCCCCUAAAUAGGAGAGACCUCAGGAGUGUGGCAAUUACACCUGCCCGCCUGAGCUCGUUGAGCAAGAGGAUCCUCAGCCCAUCGAGGAGGAUCCAACAGCCUGUAAUGAGGCUGAAGAACCAGCAAUGGGGCAGGAGAGCAUGGACACCAGCCCCUGCCACUUCCAGGUAAGCAGAAAAUAACAAAUGAAUGAAAAAUAUUUAUUUUAUCAUAUUCUCUUGUGAACUGAGCUGAUCUUAUAAAAUAAUAUUUUCUGUCUUAACCAGAACAUCAUGGAAGAAACAGACCCUCACCCCGACACCUGUGAGGUAACUAGCAAAGAGUUGUAUAG
Molecule: long non-coding RNA, 1653 nt
Organism: Xenopus tropicalis (tropical clawed frog)
Lineage: Eukaryota; Metazoa; Chordata; Amphibia; Anura; Pipidae
Exons: 4
Source: RefSeq, a predicted model, not a curated record